Molecule: ribosomal RNA, 28 nt
Filed under: Saprolegnia parasitica
Lineage: Eukaryota; Oomycota; Saprolegniomycetes; Saprolegniales; Saprolegniaceae
Also listed under: 1 other name
Description: partial 28S ribosomal RNA
Source: RNAcentral
UUGGACCUGAUAUCAAACAAGACUACCC